GGUGGCUCUGUGGUAGAGUGCUUGCCUUGCAUGCAUGAGACCCUGGGUUCGAUUCCUCAGCACCA
This 65-nucleotide transfer RNA is filed under the name Dipodomys ordii (Ord's kangaroo rat). It matches the Rfam family "tRNA". Rfam says of the family: Transfer RNA (tRNA) molecules are approximately 80 nucleotides in length. Their secondary structure includes four short double-helical elements and three loops (D, anti-codon, and T loops). Lineage: Eukaryota; Metazoa; Chordata; Mammalia; Rodentia; Heteromyidae. The record is from Rfam by way of RNAcentral.